Molecule: long non-coding RNA, 2267 nt
Organism: Cyprinus carpio carpio
Lineage: Eukaryota; Metazoa; Chordata; Actinopteri; Cypriniformes; Cyprinidae
Source: Ensembl
GAAGGGUGGAGGAGAUUGAAAAGUGAACCAGGGAAAGGAGGAUCCCAGGAAGUGUGGAGGAGGCCAGGCGUGCCCUACAGGAAGCCAGACAACAAUUAGAUGCUCAGCACUCGGCCUCUCAGGCGGAGCUGGAGAGAUUGUGGGACCAAGAGGCCCUCAGCAGUUCCAGAGUCAAGUGUCUCUUACAAGAUUUGGAAAAGGAGCUGUUCAGAAGCAGACAGGACGAGCUGGAGACUGCUUUGUCCCUUCAGCUUUCUGCCGAAGAACGGGAAGAAGUCUGCCAAAUCAAGUAAGCAGCGCUUGAACAGACCUGGCUGUGUUUGUUUAACCCCGAGCGUACGAGCUGACCGUGAGCAGUGUGUCCGUGUCCAGGCGUGAGCUCCAGGACCUGCAGCGUCUGUACAGGCCCGGCUCCUUCAGCAGCAGGAGGGCCUUAACCUGGACACGCAGAGAGUCCUGCGCAGCCGAGAGGAGGCCCACACGGCACACACCGUCUCCUUCCAGAAGGUACAGGAGCGCAUCUGUUGUGUGAACUCAGCGGCUGUCCUCACAAGCGAACACGGCGCCCCUAGGGGGGGUGAACUCGUGCUCUAGCAAGGACUAAACUGCAUUAACCGAGCUUGUCCUUCACUGUCUGUUUCUGCUGUGACAGCUCCACAGCGAGCUGAGCGUGUCAUACCAAGCCCAGGAAGAGCUCUGCCAGAGAGAUCAGCAGAUCCGAGAGCUCCAGGCACAGCUGCGGAGCUUCACAGCAGCCGUGGGGCACGCGAGAACGCCGGGAGUGAGAUGAGCAAACACUGGGCUGCUAACAAGAGCCUGAGGGCUCAGUUAGAUGAAAGAGAUCAGACGCUGAAGGAGCUGCACCAGAGGUAAAUGCUCUCUUUCACCCUUCUGCGGUCUUUCUCUUUCCCGUGCUGCGCGUCACGUGGGCAGCGUCUGAUUCCACCGUGCGGCCGACUCCAGCAGCGUCUCUAGAUCUCCAGACCCGUGAAGCUGGCUGUGGAUAGAGACAGGUUGGUGUUUCAGAGAGGGAUGUGACGAUGAAGAGGCAGCUGGUGGAGGAUCUCAGAUGCAGACUAUAGAUCUGCCAGAACACUGAGACGAGCCACAGAUCAGCGGCUGAAGACUUGGAGAAGAAAGAAGGUCCUGCUCCGACAACAGCCGCUCUACUAGCAACCUGGAAUUAAUUAUUCUCUCUGCCGUUAUUGAUUGUGUCACUCAUCCACAGUCUGAACGUCCUAGGCUUCUACGUUUCUCUGUCUGUUUAAAAAUAUCGAAGUAAUUGAAUUGCUUUUCUUUUUUUAGAUGGAAUCUCUCACUGAUGAGGCAGCUUACCGAAGAGAAGAUUGACAGAUGCCACUGCAGAACAAAACCAGCAUGAGGCAACCAGCCAAAAACUCAAAGAAGAGCUUCAGAGAAAGGUUCAAGAGCAUCUGUACAUCACUCAGGAAUCGUAAUGCUUUUUUUGGGCUUGUCCUGCGUUGUAUUGCAGGAUGGCUUUUUCUUUCUCUUUCUUUAUUCACCUAAUUACCAUCAGUCUCGUUUGAUGUUUGGCGCCAAAUGCCAUACUUUGCCCCAGUUUCAUCGUUCAGUUCAUUCUAUCCGUUAUAUACUAUCUCCUAAUUGGUGAAACGCUUGUUAAGUGUGUUUAUUCCUCAGGAGCAGAGAAUGGCCGUCCUAGUCAUCACUGGGAAUGUAACGAUUCACUCAACUCGAUUUAUUUUUCUUUUUUUACAAAAUUAGAUUUAAGACAAAUUAUAAAUUAAAUGUGUCCUUUUAUUAUUGCUUGGACAAAAUGCUGCAUGUUUCUUUGUGAAAUUGAAAUGUAACACUAUAAUAAUAUACUAAAAUAGCACUUAUCACUGUUCUUUUGUUGGUUUUGAUUGCUUCUAUUGUCCUCAUUUGUAAGUCGCUUUGGGUUGAAGCAUCUGCUAAAUGACUAAAUCUAAAUAUAAUGUAAAUGUAAAUAACAAAACUAAAUUGAAAUUUAAAAAUAAGUAACACAAAUAAAAGAAAUCUUGGUCUGUGCUCUUUCCAUUUAAAAUGAGAGGCAACCACUGCAUUUUAAUCAUGAGCAGUUUUUAAUCUAAAUUAGAUUGUAUAACUUUAAAUUUAAAGCAAAAACAGAAUGGUUUGACUUCAGUUUUGUGAAACUAUACAUAAAAAAUAUUUGCAUGAAGCAGAAACUGAAACAGCAGAUGAGCUGAACGAGACGCAGAUUCACUCUCUGCCAGCAGGUGGCGCUUAAAGUGUUUCCUUGGUUACCG